Molecule: long non-coding RNA, 544 nt
Organism: Thunnus maccoyii (southern bluefin tuna)
Lineage: Eukaryota; Metazoa; Chordata; Actinopteri; Scombriformes; Scombridae
Exons: 4
Source: RefSeq, a predicted model, not a curated record
UAACCUUAACGACCCUCCCUGACUGCAAACUCCUGCAGGAAGAGGCCAGUUGAACCACUGCAAUCAGAAAGGAUAGAUUGUAACACAAAUGUUCAUCUGAAAAUUUACAUAAAUUAUUUGCAUGCGGCUGUAAUUGGACAUCAGGCACUUGAUGAAUUAAUCACUGUGACUUGAUGGGCCAAUGCCGUGGCUGUGAGAGAGGAUCCAGUGACCAGUCAGCGGAAGAUAUACAGUACCUGUCAGUGAACGAGGGAGCAGAGGGAGGCUGAGGAGAAGACACAGCCAUUCAAAAGAGAAGGACCCAGAGAACCCAGCCUCUGUGUGACUCUGUGUUUGUCUGCUGUACAGGCGAGAGCCGGGACGAAAGUAUCACGGACACGGACCUUUUCUGUUGUAACACAGAAGUCAGGGACAUGUCGUUGUGAAGUCCAUGUGAGGAAAUGCCCAGGGUUAGUGUGAGGAAGACCAACGAGUCCAGAUGUGACCUGAAAACAAAACAACAAACACACAAAAAACAGUGAAUAAAUGUUUGUUCAUCAUCCAU